AUUGAACGCUGGCGGCAUGCUUUACACAUGCAAGUCGAACGGCAGCGCGGGCUUCGGCCUUGCGGCGAGUGGCGAACGGGUGAGUAAUGCAUCGGAACGUGCCCAGUAGUGGGGGAUAGCCCGGCGAAAGCCGGAUUAAUACCGCAUACGACCUGAGGGUGAAAGCGGGGGACCGAAAGGCCUCGCGCUAUUGGAUCGGCCGAGGUCGGAUUAGCUAGUUGGUGGGGUAAAGGCUUACCAAGGCGACGAUCCGUAGCUGGUCUGAGAGGACGACCAGCCACACUGGGACUGAGACACGGCCCAGACUCCUACGGGAGGCAGCAGUGGGGAAUUUUGGACAAUGGGGGCAACCCUGAUCCAGCCAUGCCGCGUGUGGGAAGAAGGUCUUCGGGUUGUAAAGCGCUUUUGUUCGGGAAGAAAUCCUCUGGGCUAAUACCCCGGGGGGAUGACGGUACCGGCAGAAUAAGCACCGGCUAACUACGUG
RNAcentral lists this ribosomal RNA (484 nucleotides) under uncultured bacterium. RNAcentral describes it as "partial 16S ribosomal RNA". It matches the Rfam family "Bacterial small subunit ribosomal RNA", at positions 28 to 507 of the family's 1533-position model. The record is from RNAcentral.